Molecule: long non-coding RNA, 1595 nt
Organism: Panthera leo (lion)
Lineage: Eukaryota; Metazoa; Chordata; Mammalia; Carnivora; Felidae
Source: Ensembl
CUUAUAAUUCCAAAAAUAUUUAAGGUGUAUGUAAGCAAGUUAAUACACACAGAGAAUUAUUCCUAUACUACAUUUAAUAUAUAUUAGUUUGCUUAUUUGAAUCAGAAUUGCCUGGGGAACUGUUAGAUAAUAUAUGUGUCUCUACCCUAUGAAGACUUACUUGGUAUUUGUAUUUUGAAAAAAAAAAUAACUGCCCUUGGUUAUUUUGGUGGGUUCCUCUUGUUGAGAACCACUAGUGUAAGAUAGAUCUGUUCAGAGCCAUGGGACACAUCAGGAAGCCACUGGGCCCAAGUCCAGGUGAUUUGGACAGAAAAGCAGCUGCAUGGAUCCUUCUGCGAGCUGUGAGCAAUCGGUUCCACCAUCCACAGUUAAGGGCAUCUGCAACCACUCAGCUGAUAAGUCUAAAGGCCUCCUGUAGGUCAGAACCUGACAGAGCAUGACGUGGAACACAAGAGGCAUGGGGAGGCGUCUUGAUAUAGACAGGGUGCGUGGCUCACUAAUGGAUUGAUAUCCUAUACCUCCAGUCAUUCCCCUUUUUCUUCCCCUCAUUCACGCAGAUAAUCACAUAUUGAAUAUCUUUCAUUUUGCUUUAUGGUGUCUAUUUCCUUAUAUGAUGGAGUAACUCGAGUGUUUGAUGUCAUUGUUGUUAUUUUGUGUCUGCCCAGGAGGUAGUUGAGAACCAGCUGUGUAUGAAUACCAGGCUUCUACUGUUUCUAGGUAUGCAAACUCACAGGGCUAGGUGAGGAGAGAGGUCACAGCAGGGGAGCCGGAUUUGGGAGGCGCGUUAAAGGCAGAGGGUACACUCUGGAUCAGAUCUGUAAUCUGUAAUAAUGCAACAUGUUGAGAGGACCAGCAAUCCUGGGGUGGCAUGGCUGGGCUUUGAGGACAUAUUGAUGUACCAUGCUCCUUUCAUGAUACAAAAAUGACUUUCAUGCAAUUCAUUCUUGUGUGAAGGUCCAUGGUGGAUCUAGAAGACAAAAUCAUGAGGUAUUUUGCCAGUUUCAAUAACCAAGUUUUUGGGGAGAAAACGAAUGGCUGGAGUGGGGGGGGGUGGUGAAAGCCUGGAAGGCGGUGAAAUCUGAGGGGAUGCUGGCUUCCCUCCAGCUGAAGCAGGCUCUUGUGAAGGCUGGGCUAGAAUGGCCUGUCCAUCAUCGCAAACUGGCGGGUGUUCCCAGAAGAGCCGCUGAGGUGUGAGAGAAACUGCCUUGUUACCAGGAAUGUGGGAAAGAGUGGAGGUUUUAUGUAUAAUUUCCUUUUCUCAGAAUCCAAAAUAGUCAUAAAUAAGCCCAAAGAGGCAACAGGCAGGAGAAUGAAACAUGAAUGCCUAUCAUUUCUGAGGAGCUAGAAACUGAGAAGAAUUCAAAUAGAUCUUUCACUGUGGAUUUGGACUCCGAAGUAACUUGGCCAAAGCUAAAUGUAGUCAGUUUACAAAAAGGGCUCUGCAAGGUGACAUAAUGCCACAGAGAUGAAGAUUUUCACAGUGGAAAAAACAGGUUUGGCACAGACAAGCUCUAAACUCUUUGGAAAUCAUAAUCCUGUACUCUCCACAGAUCCUUGAGAGUUAAAGGCUAAGACUGUUAGAACAUCAUGACAGG